Molecule: ribosomal RNA, 1482 nt
Filed under: Enterobacter ludwigii
Lineage: Bacteria; Pseudomonadati; Pseudomonadota; Gammaproteobacteria; Enterobacterales; Enterobacteriaceae
Description: partial 23S ribosomal RNA
Rfam family: Bacterial large subunit ribosomal RNA
Source: RNAcentral
GGUUAAGCGACUAAGCGUACACGGUGGAUGCCCUGGCAGUCAGAGGCGAUGAAGGACGUGCUAAUCUGCGAAAAGCGCCGGCGAGGUGAUAUGAACCUUUGACCCGGCGAUGUCCGAAUGGGGAAACCCAGUGUGUUCCGACACACUAUCGUUAACUGAAUACAUAGGUUAACGAGGCGAACCGGGGGAACUGAAACAUCUAAGUACCCCGAGGAAAAGAAAUCAACCGAGAUUCCCCCAGUAGCGGCGAGCGAACGGGGAGCAGCCCAGAGUCUGAAUCAGCUUGUGUGUUAGUGGAAGCGUCUGGAAAGUCGCACGGUACAGGGUGACAGUCCCGUACACGAAAGCACACAGGUUGUGAACUCGAAGAGUAGGGCGGGACACGUGGUAUCCUGUCUGAAUAUGGGGGGACCAUCCUCCAAGGCUAAAUACUCCUGACUGACCGAUAGUGAACCAGUACCGUGAGGGAAAGGCGAAAAGAACCCCGGCGAGGGGAGUGAAAAAGAACCUGAAACCGUGUACGUACAAGCAGUGGGAGCCUCUUUUAUGGGGUGACUGCGUACCUUUUGUAUAAUGGGUCAGCGACUUAUAUUCUGUAGCAAGGUUAACCGUAUAGGGGAGCCGAAGGGAAACCGAGUCUUAACUGGGCGUUAAGUUGCAGGGUAUAGACCCGAAACCCGGUGAUCUAGCCAUGGGCAGGUUGAAGGUUGGGUAACACUAACUGGAGGACCGAACCGACUAAUGUUGAAAAAUUAGCGGAUGACUUGUGGCUGGGGGUGAAAGGCCAAUCAAACCGGGAGAUAGCUGGUUCUCCCCGAAAGCUAUUUAGGUAGCGCCUCGUGAACUCAUCUUCGGGGGUAGAGCACUGUUUCGGCUAGGGGGCCAUCCCGGCUUACCAACCCGAUGCAAACUACGAAUACCGAAGAAUGUUAUCACGGGAGACACACGGCGGGUGCUAACGUCCGUCGUGAAGAGGGAAACAACCCAGACCGCCAGCUAAGGUCCCAAAGUCAUGGUUAAGUGGGAAACGAUGUGGGAAGGCACAGACAGCCAGGAUGUUGGCUUAGAAGCAGCCAUCAUUUAAAGAAAGCGUAAUAGCUCACUGGUCGAGUCGGCCUGCGCGGAAGAUGUAACGGGGCUAAACCAUGCACCGAAGCUGCGGCAGCGACGCUUAUGCGUUGUUGGGUAGGGGAGCGUUCUGUAAGCCGUUGAAGGUGUCCUGUGAGGGGUGCUGGAGGUAUCAGAAGUGCGAAUGCUGACAUAAGUAACGAUAAAGCGGGUGAAAAGCCCGCUCGCCGGAAGACCAAGGGUUCCUGUCCAACGUUAAUCGGGGCAGGGUGAGUCGACCCCUAAGGCGAGGCCGAAAGGCGUAGUCGAUGGGAAACAGGUUAAUAUUCCUGUACUUGGUGUUACUGCGAAGGGGGGACGGAGAAGGCUAUGUUAGCCGGGCGACGGUUGUCCCGGUUUAAGCAUGUAGGCGGA